AAGUCUAGGUGCUAAGGGAAGCAGUCAUAUAAAAUAGCUCAGUUUUGUCAUAUAUGAUUGGUUUGUGUCCUUGAUAUAAACCAAUAACAGUACCAAAAUGCAAAAGGGCAUUCAGGGAAAAGUAUGAACAUUGAUCUAUUAACCAUCUCUGAUCACAUUCUUUAGAGCAGGAAUUGCUAAGGGCAGUUUUUGUGGGUACCACCAUCACCAGCUCAUCUCUGUGUUCCCAGUGCAUGGCUGAAAACGCACCAGUCAUGUAGCCGAGUUUGAAAUGGCAACAUAAAGAAUAUUGCGAUUGUGAUGAGGUCUUCACACUGCAAGCAAGGGAACCAGCUUCAAACCCUUAUAGAAUUAUAUAUGGCUCUUAAACUGUGCCCUGCAUUUGAACUUGAACAGAGCUGCUAGUUGGAUUUGCCAG
This 418-nucleotide long non-coding RNA is filed under the name Phasianus colchicus (ring-necked pheasant). RNAcentral's name for it is "lncRNA (ENSPCLG00000000878.1)". Lineage: Eukaryota; Metazoa; Chordata; Aves; Galliformes; Phasianidae. The record is from RNAcentral.